RNAcentral lists this ribosomal RNA (1465 nucleotides) under uncultured Bordetella sp. RNAcentral describes it as "partial 16S-23S ribosomal RNA intergenic spacer". It matches the Rfam family "Bacterial small subunit ribosomal RNA". The record is from RNAcentral. Lineage: Bacteria; Pseudomonadati; Pseudomonadota; Betaproteobacteria; Burkholderiales; Alcaligenaceae.
GGUUUCGUUCUGGCUCAGAUUGAACGCUGGCGGGAUGCUUUACACAUGCAAGUCGAACGGCAGCCUGGGACUUCGGUCUGGUGGCGAGUGGCGAACGGGUGAGUAAUGUAUCGGAACGUGCCUAGUAGCGGGGGAUAGCUACGCGAAAGCGUAGCUAAUACCGCCUUCCGCCCUUCGAGGAAAGCGGGGACCUUCGGGCUCACUAUUAAACGGCCGAUAUCGGAUUAGCUAGUUGGUGGGGUAACGGCUCACCAAGGCGACGAUCCGUAAGCUGGUUUGAGAGGACGCCAGCCACACUGGGACUGAGACACGGCCCAGACUCUACGGGAGGCAGCAGUGGGGAAUUUUGGACAAUGGGGAAACCCUGAUCCAGCCAUCCGCGUGUGCGAUGAAGGCCUUCGGGUUGUAAAGCACUUUUGGCAGGAAAGAAACGGCACGGGAUAAUACCCCGUGCAACUGACGGUACCUGCAGAAUAAGCACCGGCUAACUACGUGCCAGCAGCGCGGUAACCGUAGGAGUGCAAGCGUUAAUCGGAAUUACUGGGCGUAAAGCGUGCGCAGGCGGUUCGGAAGAAAGAUGUGAAAUCCAGAGCUUAACUUUGGAACUGCAUUUUUUAACUACCGAGCUAAGUGUGUCAGAGGGAGAGUGGAAUUCCGCGUCAUGUGGUGAAAUGCGUAGAUAUGCGGAGGAACACCGAUGGCGAAGGCAGCCUCCUGGGAUAACACUGACGCUCAUGCACAGCGUGGGGAGCAAAACAGGAUUAGAUACCCUGGUAGUCACGCCUAAACAGAGGAAAUGUCAACUAGCUGUUGGGGCCUUCGGGCCUUGGUAGCGCAGCUAACGCGUGAAGUUGACCGCCGCAGAAUUACGGUCGCAAGAUUAAAACUCAAGGAAUUGACGGGGACCCGCACAAGCGGUGGAUGUUGUGGAUUCGUUGAUGGCGAAAAGACACUACCUACCCUUGACAUGUCUGGAAUCUGAAGAAGAGUUGCCGGGACAUGCCAGAGAACCGGAACACAGGUGCUGCAUGGCUGUCGUCAGCUGUGUGUUGAGAUGUUGGGUUAAGUCCCGCAACGAGCGCAACCUUGUCAUUGGUGCUACGAAAGGGCAUAUGGCCGGAGCUGCCGGUGACAAACCGGAGGAAGGUGGGGAUGACGUCAAGUCCUCAUGGCCCUUAUGGGUAGGGCUUCACACGUCAUACAAUGGUCGGGACAGAAGGUCGCCCAUGCGAAGACUAAUCCCAGAAACCCGAUCGUAGUCCAGAUCGCAGUCUGCAACUCAUUUACGUGAAGUCGAAUGCUAUUAAUCGCGGAUCAGCAUGUCGCGGUGAAUACGUUCCAGGUCUUGUACACCGCCCCGUCACACCAUGGGAGUGGGUUUUACCCGAAGUAGUUAGCCUAACCGUAAGGAGGGCGAUUACCACCGGUAGGAUUCAUGACUGGGGUGAAAUAACCAACAAGGUAG